GUCCUCGGUGGCUCAGUCGGCUAGAGCGUCUGCCAUACCAGCAGAAGACCCCGGGUUCGAAUCCCGGUCAGGGCA
Non-coding RNA from Schistocerca nitens (vagrant locust), 75 nucleotides. The record is from the annotation of a RefSeq genome assembly. Lineage: Eukaryota; Metazoa; Arthropoda; Insecta; Orthoptera; Acrididae.